UUCUUCGUUUGGGUGAAAAAA
Molecule: non-coding RNA, 21 nt
Organism: Caenorhabditis elegans
Lineage: Eukaryota; Metazoa; Nematoda; Chromadorea; Rhabditida; Rhabditidae
Source: Ensembl